AGUGAACGCUGGCGGUAGGCCUAACACAUGCAAGUCGAACGGCAGCACAGGAGAGCUUGCUCUCUGGGUGGCGAGUGGCGGACGGGUGAGGAAUACAUCGGAAUCUGCCCAGUCGUGGGGGAUAACGUAGGGAAACUUACGCUAAUACCGCAUACGACCUUCGGGUGAAGGAGGGGGAUCGCAAGACCUCUCGCGAUUGGAUGAGCCGAUGUCGGAUUAGCUAGUUGGCGGGGUAAUGGCCCACCAAGGCGACGAUCCGUAGCUGGUCUGAGAGGAUGAUCAGCCACACUGGAACUGAGACACGGUCCAGACUCCUACGGGAGGCAGCAGUGGGGAAUAUUGGACAAUGGGCGCAAGCCUGAUCCAGCCAUACCGCGUGGGUGAAGAAGGCCUUCGGGUUGUAAAGCCCUUUUGUUGGGAAAGAAAUCUUUCAGGCUAAUACCCUGGGAGGAUGACGGUACCCAAAGAAUAAGCACCGGCUAACUUCGUG
RNAcentral lists this ribosomal RNA (490 nucleotides) under uncultured bacterium. RNAcentral's name for it is "partial 16S ribosomal RNA". It matches the Rfam family "Bacterial small subunit ribosomal RNA", at positions 29 to 507 of the family's 1533-position model. The record is from RNAcentral.